This 303-nucleotide ribosomal RNA is filed under the name Triticum aestivum (bread wheat). RNAcentral's name for it is "partial small subunit ribosomal RNA". Lineage: Eukaryota; Viridiplantae; Streptophyta; Magnoliopsida; Poales; Poaceae. The record is from RNAcentral.
AUGGCGUUACGACAGGCACUGGGAUGGUCUGACGGGGAGGUGAUGCGGCCAGAGUCGAAGACCUGCUCCCGCCUGAUGCGUCACACCGCGGGCAUCUUCUCCGUCGGUGGCGCCCUCGCUUCCUGGGUUCUCUGUCGCCUUCACUAUGGUCCGAGGAUAACGGUCCCGAGGAGCCUGAGGUGGGCAUCCUGUGGAGCGAUCUGCACGAGCUUGGCGUCGGCCUCGCUGGUGCGGCUCUUGAGCCCGGAGUGCGAGCCGCAGAACAUAGCGGCUUACGACAGGCCCGAACACAAGCCUGCAUAG